This 496-nucleotide ribosomal RNA is filed under the name uncultured bacterium. Its description in RNAcentral is "partial 16S ribosomal RNA". It matches the Rfam family "Bacterial small subunit ribosomal RNA", at positions 28 to 523 of the family's 1533-position model. The record is from RNAcentral.
GAUGAACGCUGGCGGCGUGCUUAACACAUGCAAGUCGAACGGAGUUUUAAGAGACGAACUUUUCGGAGUAAGUUUUUUAAAACUUAGUGGCGGACGGGUGAGUAACGCGUGGGUAACCUGCCUUAUACAGGGGGAUAACAGUUAGAAAUGACUGCUAAUACCGCAUAAGCGCACAGGGCCGCAUGGCCUGGUGUGAAAAACUGAGGUGGUAUAAGAUGGACCCGCGUUGGAUUAGCUGGUUGGUGGGGUAACGGCCCACCAAGGCGACGAUCCCGAGCCGGCCUGAGAGGGUGAACGGCCACAUUGGGACUGAGACACGGCACAAACUCCUACGGGAGGCAGCAGUGGGGAAUAUUGCACAAUGGGGGAAACCCUGAUGCAGCGACGCCGCGUGAAGGAAGAAGUAUUUCGGUAUGUAAACUUCUAUCAGCAGGGAAGAAAGUGACGGUACCUGACUAAGAAGCCCCGGCUAACUACGUGCCAGCAGCCGCCGUAA